Molecule: long non-coding RNA, 2287 nt
Filed under: Mus musculus (house mouse)
Lineage: Eukaryota; Metazoa; Chordata; Mammalia; Rodentia; Muridae
Description: long non-coding RNA chr18:59067709-59069996
Source: RNAcentral
AGUGAGGCUUAUAAAACCAUGUCUUUAACAUAAUAUUUGCCUUCAGUUACUUUAUACAGGUGAGAAAUUUUCCUCACCUUUGUCCCCAAUUUUUGUUUGGAAGUAAUUUUACAUCUCAAGGUUUGGGGUCUACAGUUAUUACACUAGGAAAAGCCAUACUUUUAGACCCUCCUCCCACACUUUAAACCAUCCUGUUGGAUUUCCUGACUCUAGUCAUAUAGAAAUGGGUUCAACUUGCUAUAUAUGACUAUGUAAAUUCUCAGAUUUACCACAAGUAUCUUCUAAACUUAGUAGUCACUAAUUAUCUCCCAGACUACCAUAACUAACAAUUAUACCAAAUGAUUUUAACUGUACAACUUGAGUAACUGUCUCCAAACUUCCAAUAUCAGGAGAUACAGGUAUGGCUGAGAUGGUAGAAAGCCCCCCAUGAAACUUUGAUGCUCUGUAUUUAGUUCUGCAUCAUUGACAUGAAAAGCUGGGCUCAGGGACAUGUUUCCAUAAUUCAAUCUAGUGUUGGGGUGAGGUGGUCUUGGGACCGAUGGAUCCCUGAAGCUCAUUCACAGCCAGUCCAGUUUAAUCUGUGAGUUCUAGGCUCACCAAAAGAUCUUGUCCCCCAAAAUAAGGAGUUUAGUAGUUUAGGAAGACACCCAAUGCAACCUCUGGUGUCUACUCAUGUGCACUUGUGCCUGCAUGUAUACACACAAGCACAUAUACACAGAGCAUCAUCUACACACACUGCACAUAUACAAACCAGGCUAGAAUAAAGUUCCAGUAUUCGUUCCUGGUUCUGGGGUGUUGUAGCAGUGGGAUACAAUGGCCACUUUAUAGCACCUCUUCAGCAUUGGUGAGGGAGGCUACUCCUCACCCUUGGGGCAAGUGACAAAGUAACAGGGAGUAUAAGCAGUGUUUAUGUUUUAAAAUCUGAUCUGCCAAUCUCUGUCACUGAAAGGAGUUAAGUCUUCUUCAGGUUAGUAUGCUUGCGUACGACUUUUCCUUGACUUACUCUUUAUAUUUAUACCCGAGUCCACUAAGAGAUUGGUCAACUUGUCGUGACAAUUUUCCUUGCUCUAGUAAUUUGGAGGUAAACACUCUUUCUCUGAUUUUAACAACAUCUCUAUCUUUCCCCUGCAAUUGGGUCUUAGUUUGUUAAUUGACAACUGUUUCAAACAUAUUACCGUCUGAUUCUCUAGUUCACUUUAAAACUCGAAUUAUUAUAGUCUUACUAUCUUAUCGAUUUCUAUGUAUUCUUCAGCGUGCUUUGGCUUCAUCUCCCUGGCGACCACUAACUCUACUCGUUCUUGAUGUCUAAGAACAGAGGAUCCUGUUUAAAUGGACAGUUAGAUGCUCCCUUUUAGAUUUUGUUUGGCCAAAUAUGUCUUCUAGCUCUUUAAAUAGGUGCCAUUUUACUUUCACAUUAGAGUAUUAGGAUUAAAACGAAUAAAAAUAAAUUGACAACGUUCAGCCCAGUAGUAAAACUCUAGCUGAACUUUGAAGUGUUACUUCUCUAGCGGAAUUUAUUCUACAGUCUAAUUGAUUAAAAUCAUGCAGAUGCUACUAAAUAUUUCACCUAAAAUGUAGCAUGGAAAGUGAGAAUUGCAUAUAUGUUCAUUAUUUUAUUAAACCUAUUUGGAAAACAAAAUACUCAAUUACAAAUUAUUCACAGCAUUUUUUUUUUUGUAAACUUGCUAUUUGAACCGGAAGUCUCACUCUUGCUAGGUAAGCCCUCUGGCAUUGAACUGUCUCCAGCCUCAUAACUAGUAUUUACUUUUAUUCUUCCAUUGUAUAAUAAUCAGUAUAUAUUUGGCUAUCUCAGGGAUGAACCCUACAAUUUCCAGUCAUCUAAGCAUGUGCUCGGUCUCUGAACCUUGUCCCAGUAAUCCCACCAAACCUUUCUUGAACAAUUUAUUAAUAUAUAAAUUAUUUAAAAAUGGUUUCCUUAGCAAUAAACCUUAAUAUUUAGUUUUCUUUGGUGUGUCCUUCAGAUAUGAGUGAUGUGAAGAUCAAAAUAAAGAACACAUUUCAGAAAAAAAUAUUACAUUUUUUCAAGGAAAUGGCCUAGAAAUAAGGCUUACAUUCUGCUUUAGAAUAUACCUCUGCUUUGAUACCUUCGUAUAUUAAUUCUAUCUAAAUCUAUAUACAUGUUAUAUAGUUUAUGUCUACUUUAUCUGAGCCACACAUUUUCUUUUCCUCAUUUAACAAACCUUUAUAUUUACAUUGAAGGAGCAGUCUAGGAGGAAAAGAACGUAACAAAGACAAUUUGUGCAUGUCAGAAGAGUUAGCCUACUCC